ACCUAAGUCAACAGGCCAUAAAGAAAGAGCUGGAAGCCUUGUGCUAUGCACACAUUUCUACAUCUCUUACAGUAAUGAAGAUGAUACUUUGUCCUCCUAUCAAACUAAAAGUAUUCGGAAGAAAACCCCGUAUUUCCUAUCAUUUCACUGACAAAUACUUCAGUUGGUAUUUCUAACAGGAAUUGGGGCUAAGAAGCAGAAAAAAGAACAAAGCAAUAAAACGGGUAUCAACCACUCUUUUAUUUGACCCUGCCAUUAUUUAAAAAGUCCAUGGAAAGGGUAGAUAUUUCCAUAAUCCCUUAGAAGUCUGUAUUAUUUGCAGAAGCAAACUGUACAAGUAUGAAAGACAAUGUACAGAAUAGUGUCCAGCUCCUAAAACAAUGUUUGGUAUAUAAUAGAUGCCAAAUAAAAUUUAGUG
Molecule: long non-coding RNA, 418 nt
Organism: Neofelis nebulosa (Clouded leopard)
Lineage: Eukaryota; Metazoa; Chordata; Mammalia; Carnivora; Felidae
Exons: 3
Source: RefSeq, a predicted model, not a curated record